RNAcentral lists this ribosomal RNA (1035 nucleotides) under uncultured Bacillota bacterium. RNAcentral's name for it is "bacterial SSU rRNA". It matches the Rfam family "Bacterial small subunit ribosomal RNA", at positions 1 to 917 of the family's 1533-position model. Lineage: Bacteria; Bacillati; Bacillota. The record is from RNAcentral.
UGGAUCCAGACUUUGAUCCUGGCUCAGGACGAACGCUGGCGGCGUGCUUAACACAUGCAAGUCGUACGAGGCAGAUUUUCAUCACUGAACUUUAAAGAGCGGACUGAUGAGAGGCGUCGUGAAUGCGAAGCAUUCACCACACUUUUAUAAAGUGCUUAACCUUAAGGCUGAGUGAUGAAAAGAUGCCGAGUGGCAAACGGGUGAGUAACGCGUAGACAACCUGCCGUAAAGAUGGGGACAACAGUUCGAAAGGACUGCUAGUACCGAAUGUUGUAGAGUUUCCGCAUGGGAAUCCUACUAAAGGUGGCCUCUACUUGUAAGCUAUCACUUUACGAUGGGUCUGCGUCUGAUUAGCUAGUUGGUGGGGUAACAGCCUACCAAGGCGACGAUCAGUAGCCGGUCUGAGAGGAUGAACGGCCACAUUGGAACUGAGACACGGUCCAGACUCCUACGGGAGGCAGCAGUGGGGAAUCUUCCGCAAUGGGCGCAAGCCUGACGGAGCAACGCCGCGUGAGUGAAGAAGGGUUUCGACUCGUAAAGCUCUGUUGUCGGGGACGAAUGUGGAGAUGGUGAAUAACCAUUUUCAAUGACGGUACCUGACGAGGAAGCCACGGCUAACUACGUGCCAGCAGCCGCGGUAAUACGUAGGUGGCGAGCGUUGUCCGGAAUUAUUGGGCGUAAAGGGAGCGCAGGCGGGAAGGUAAGUCUACCUUAAAAGUGCGGGGCUCAACCCCGUGAGGGGAUGGAAACUAUCUUUCUUGAGUGCAGGAGAGGAAAGCGGAAUUCCUAGUGUAGCGGUGAAAUGCGUAGAUAUUAGGAGGAACACCAGUGGCGAAGGCGGCUUUCUGGACUGUAACUGACGCUGAGGCUCGAAAGCGUGGGGAGCGAACAGGAUUAGAUACCCUGGUAGUCCACGCCGUAAACGAUGAAUGCUAGGUGUAGGAGGUAUCGACCCCUCCUGUGCCGGAGUUAACGCAAUAAGCAUUCCGCCUGGGGAGUACGGCCGCAAGGCUGCAACUCAAAUGAAUUGACGGA